CACGUAGGCUGAUAUUUAAGUCAGGGGUGAAAUCCCGGGGCUCAACCCCGGAACUGCCUUUGAUACUGGGUAUCUUGAGUAUGGAAGAGGUCAGUGGAAUUGCGAGUGUAGAGGUGAAAUUCGUAGAUAUUCGCAAGAACACCAGUGGCGAAGGCGGCUCACUGGGCCAUUACUGACGCUGAGGCACGAAAGCGUGGGAGCAAACA
RNAcentral lists this ribosomal RNA (206 nucleotides) under uncultured bacterium. Its description in RNAcentral is "partial 16S ribosomal RNA". It matches the Rfam family "Bacterial small subunit ribosomal RNA", at positions 568 to 774 of the family's 1533-position model. The record is from RNAcentral.